RNAcentral lists this long non-coding RNA (281 nucleotides) under Lathyrus oleraceus (garden pea). RNAcentral describes it as "Pisum sativum (pea) long non-coding RNA (PSAT_LNC042177)". The record is from RNAcentral. Lineage: Eukaryota; Viridiplantae; Streptophyta; Magnoliopsida; Fabales; Fabaceae.
ACAAUAAAUCCAUAAAAGAAAAACAAUCAGCAGAGAAGCACGAACGAACUCCCUCUUGUCUCCUCUAAUUAAAAUACUCUUUUCACACUCUCUCCCUGCUUUUCAUUUUCUCCACCUCUGUUAUAACACCACCAUCACUAUUGGAUUAACCACGAUGGUGGUAACAGGAAUCUCCGACGACACUUCUGUGUAGCCGUGGUGUCAAGUCGUGAGCGCUCAUAACUCAAAGGAAAAUCCUACCCUUAUCCAAGCAAAUACUUAAAAACCCAAAUCUAGCCAUG